RNAcentral lists this ribosomal RNA (489 nucleotides) under uncultured bacterium. RNAcentral describes it as "partial 16S ribosomal RNA". It matches the Rfam family "Bacterial small subunit ribosomal RNA", at positions 29 to 506 of the family's 1533-position model. The record is from RNAcentral.
AGUGAACGCUGGCGGUAGGCCUAACACAUGCAAGUCGAACGGCAGCACGGGAGAGCUUGCUCUCUGGGUGGCGAGUGGCGGACGGGUGAGGAAUACAUCGGAAUCUGCCCAGUCGUGGGGGAUAACGUAGGGAAACUUACGCUAAUACCGCAUACGACCUUCGGGUGAAAGAGGGGGAUCGCAAGACCUCUCGCGAUUGGAUGAGCCGAUGUCGGAUUAGCUAGUUGGCGGGGUAAUGGCCCACCAAGGCGACGAUCCGUAGCUGGUCUGAGAGGAUGAUCAGCCACACUGGAACUGAGACACGGUCCAGACUCCUACGGGAGGCAGCAGUGGGGAAUAUUGGACAAUGGGCGCAAGCCUGAUCCAGCCAUACCGCGUGGGUGAAGAAGGCCUUCGGGUUGUAAAGCCCUUUUGUUGGGAAAGAAAUCUUUCAGGCUAAUACCCUGGGAGGAUGACGGUACCCAAAGAAUAAGCACCGGCUAACUGCGU